GAAGGUAUAGCUCAGUGGUAGAGCGCAUGCUUAGCAUACACAAGGUCCUGGGUUCAAUCCCCAGGACCUCUA
This 72-nucleotide transfer RNA is filed under the name Camelus bactrianus (Bactrian camel). It matches the Rfam family "tRNA". From Rfam's summary of the family: Transfer RNA (tRNA) molecules are approximately 80 nucleotides in length. Their secondary structure includes four short double-helical elements and three loops (D, anti-codon, and T loops). Further hydrogen bonds mediate the characteristic L-shaped molecular structure. tRNAs have two regions of fundamental functional importance: the anti-codon, which is responsible for specific mRNA codon recognition, and the 3' end, to which the tRNAs corresponding amino acid is attached (by aminoacyl-tRNA synthetases). tRNAs cope with the degeneracy of the genetic code in two manners: having more than one tRNA (with a specific anti-codon) for a particular amino acid; and 'wobble' base-pairing, i.e. permitting non-standard base-pairing at the 3rd anti-codon position. RNAcentral also lists the same sequence under 3 other names. Lineage: Eukaryota; Metazoa; Chordata; Mammalia; Artiodactyla; Camelidae. The record is from Rfam by way of RNAcentral.